AGGGUUCGAUUAUGGCUCAGGAUGAACGCUGGCGGCGUGCUUAAUACAUGCAAGUCGAACGAAGCACCUUGGACAGAAUCCUUCGGGAGGAAGACCAUUGUGACUGAGUGGCGCACGGGUGAGUAACGCGUAUCCAACCUGCCUGUUACCACGGCACAGCCCGUCGAAAGGCGGAUUAAUGCCGUAUGUGGUCCUUUGCGGGCAUCUAAUUAGGACUAAAGGUUCGGCGGUAACAGAUGGGGAUGCGUCCGAUUAGCUAGACGGCGGGGUAACGGCCCACCGUGGCUACGAUCGGUAGGGGUUCUGAGAGGAAGGCCCCCCACACUGGAACUGAGACACGGUCCAG
Molecule: ribosomal RNA, 346 nt
Filed under: uncultured bacterium
Lineage: Bacteria
Description: bacterial SSU rRNA
Rfam family: Bacterial small subunit ribosomal RNA
Source: RNAcentral